GCCCUGGAAUAACCUGCCGCGCUAUCGUCGCGCUCAAAUCUUUCAGGCAUGAACCUGUCGGCGUCGUCCCAGUGCGCCGGGCUCCUCGCGAUCGCCCAUGCGUUCACGAUCACCCUGCUGCCCUUGGCCACCUGGAACCCGCCGAUGUCGCAGGUCUCUCGGCACUGGCGAGGGAGGAGCAGCGGGAGGGGCGGGUACAGCCUCAGGGUCUCCUUGAUCACCGUCUUGGUGUAGCGCAGCUUGUCCAUCUGGGCUUCGUGCUCGUCGGGGCUGCUGUGCUCGAAUGCUUGCCGCACCUCGUCUUGCGCCUUGUGCAUUGCGUCGGGGUUCCUCAUCAGCUCCGCCAUGAGCCACUCGGCCACCGACGAAGUCGUCUCCGUCCCUCCUGUGAAUAAAUCCUGCGCUGGACAAAAUUCAGGUGUGAGGUGCUAUGAGCAAGUGACUCUGCAUCUACUAGUCCUAGAAUGGAUUACAGUUGUCAGGAAUUUUUGUUGGGGACUGUGAUAUAAAAAAGUUGAAACUUUCAGAGCUUACCUGCAGAGAAUACAUUGUUGAAGUUGCAAAGAUAGUGCUUGGUGAACGAUGGAAGCCCUAGGAUGUUGUUUUUGUUUAUGUUUCUUACAGUGUUUGGUAGAUGAUGAAAGUUCUAAUGUUGUUUCCCUAUUUAUCUCCCAAAAAUGUUGAUUGUAUGGGCUAAUGUCAUGAUGAUUUUUCUGAAUUUACCGAGUUUAUGUGCACCGUUAAAACUUUGGCAACAUAAAAUGAUUUGGUCAUCAAUGGUUAAUCAGUUUCGAGAUUCCUUUU
This is a long non-coding RNA of Zea mays, 804 nucleotides long. RefSeq lists it as uncharacterized. The record is from RefSeq and is a predicted model, not a curated record. NCBI's taxonomy places the organism in Eukaryota, Viridiplantae, Streptophyta, Magnoliopsida, Poales, Poaceae. The transcript is spliced from 4 exons.